UAGAUACGAAGUUUAAAGGGCCGUUUA
RNAcentral lists this non-coding RNA (27 nucleotides) under Bombyx mori (domestic silkworm). Lineage: Eukaryota; Metazoa; Arthropoda; Insecta; Lepidoptera; Bombycidae. The record is from RNAcentral.